UACGGAGGGGGCUAGCGUUGUUCGGAAUUACUGGGCGUAAAGCGCACGUAGGCGGCUUUGCAAGUUAGAGGUGAAAGCCCGGGGCUCAACCUGGGAAUGGCAUUCGGGACUGCAAGGCUGGAGUGCGGCAGAGGAGACUGGAAUUCCUGGUGUAGCAGUGAAAUGCGUAGAUAUCAGGAGGAAUACCGAUGGCGAAGGCAGGUCUCUGGGCUGACACUGACGCUCAUGCACGAAAGCGUGGGGAGCAAACAGG
This 253-nucleotide ribosomal RNA is filed under the name uncultured bacterium. RNAcentral's name for it is "partial 16S ribosomal RNA". It matches the Rfam family "Bacterial small subunit ribosomal RNA", at positions 524 to 776 of the family's 1533-position model. The record is from RNAcentral.